Non-coding RNA from Lingula anatina, 73 nucleotides. Lineage: Eukaryota; Metazoa; Brachiopoda; Lingulata; Lingulida; Lingulidae. The record is from Rfam.
GGUUCAAUAGUGUAGUGGCUAUCACGCUCGCCUCACACGCGAAAGGUCCUGGGUUCGAACCCCAGUUGAACCA